AAAAGCAAAGGAAACAAGAAACAUCUUCCGGAAUGUUUGUUCUUGAUUAUCUGUUUACAAUUCAAAAAGAUAACUAAAUCCUGAAUAGUGCAAUAUAGUCUGUGGUCACUUCUUUAAAUUAAGCUUUUGGUUCACAGUAGUCCCCCUCAUCCAUGAGGGUUUCAAGAAGCACCCCCUACCCCCACCACGUGGACGCCAGAAACUGUGGAUGGUGCUGAACCCCAUAUAUGCUAUGCUUUUUCCCGCCCAUAUGUGCCACACAGCUUGGACAUGCUGGACAAAGGAACGACUCACGUCCCGGGCUGGACAGAGCAGGACGACCAGACUUCAUCAUGCUACUACUCAGAAGAGUAUGUAAUCUGAAACUUACAAAUUGUUUAUUUCUGGAGUUUCUCAUCUAAUAUUUUCAGAUCACAGUUGACUAUGGGUAAUUAAAGCCUGGGAAAGUGGAAGCAUGGGUAAGGGGGGGCUGCUGUGUAACACAGAACAUUUUCCAGCACUUCACAAAGGAGCAAUAGGUCC
RNAcentral lists this long non-coding RNA (522 nucleotides) under Homo sapiens (human). Its description in RNAcentral is "non-protein coding lnc-CA5A-13:1". The record is from RNAcentral. Lineage: Eukaryota; Metazoa; Chordata; Mammalia; Primates; Hominidae.